AUUCCCAAUCACAAUAGCAAAAUCAUCAAAAGAGACUUCAUAAAUGUCAAUUAUUUACAUUAUAAAGUUCAAACCAAACCUAAUCACAUUGCCAACAUGCUCUUUUCUCCUCAUUUAAAUUCCACUUCAACUAAUGGAGACCAAUCUGCAACAUCUUCAAACAACUUUGCUCCAGCAGUUAUCCCAGAAAGAAACGGGCACCCAAUCUCCUUUCAUCAUCUAUAUGUUCAAAACCUGCCACCAAAUCCUUAACCUUUCCUCUCUUUCUACAGCCUUUUCCAAAUUUAUCCAGUAGCCAAGAUACAUGAGUAAAGAUUUAUCCAGUUGCCUAACUUUAUCCCUAAUGGAUUAAUUUAGUGAUGUAUUUGAAUCAAACAUUAAAUUCCACACAAAAAAUCCAAACUUCUCGAAUUUUCACAAAAACAAUAAAUCACAGUAGAGAAGACUCUAUAAAUCUUACCUUCAAAAGACAUUAAGAUUCAAACGACCGGCAACAGCGAAAUACCAACUAGGAAAGUAAAGAUUCAACCUCAAAAUCUUGUAAUUUCCGUUAAAUAAGAAUAAAUUUACUCAUACUUUCUGUUUCUUCUUGUUUAUUCACAUUUAGUUUUUUCAACAACUCAUUUUCACCUAAGAAGGCAACACAUAUUUGAGUUUGCUAAUGACUACACAAAUCGGAAGAUUACAAGCAAACCAUUCUGAACAUUCCCAUAAAUUACAUAUUGAACAAAAGCAUCUCUAAGAGCAAACUCGAACUACAACACAACAUAAUACACACACAACAUUUAACUCCAAUUAAAACUUUCAUUGUCCAGAAAACCUUGAAACUGAACAACGAUUGAAGCUGUCUUACAAUUGGGACCGCUUAAUUCAUACUAUACAAAUGAAAAACAUUAAACAUAAACAAAGCCCAAAAGCUAAGAUAAUUAAAUAAUUGAUUGCUAUAGGAUCUUACUUCUUUCACAAAAUUAAAUUGUUAUACGAAGAUGAGGGCGAGAUGCGCACAAGGAAAAGAAGACAAGACCCCUGGUUCCGUUCGAUUAUUCAACUAAGGAACAACAAUUAGUUUCUAAGACCUCCAUCAACGAAUAUGGUUACAGAUGCAGAAUUUGCAUUGCAUGUUAUAACAAACAAAUUCUAAAGAGGAGAAGCCUCUAGUGGAAAAAGACUGUUCGUCUUCUAGAAUUGGGGAUAUUGAAUUACGUUUUUGGGGAGGUUGGGACUUUUAGG
This 1230-nucleotide long non-coding RNA is filed under the name Olea europaea subsp. europaea. The record is from RNAcentral. Lineage: Eukaryota; Viridiplantae; Streptophyta; Magnoliopsida; Lamiales; Oleaceae.